RNAcentral lists this long non-coding RNA (19335 nucleotides) under Gossypium barbadense (sea-island cotton). RNAcentral describes it as "long non-coding RNA (GBAR_LNC016080)". The record is from RNAcentral. Lineage: Eukaryota; Viridiplantae; Streptophyta; Magnoliopsida; Malvales; Malvaceae.
UUCAAGCUGAUUUGGCUGCUUCUCUUGGAUUUUCUGUUAAUUAUAUCAUCGGUCGCUUCAUCGUCUUUAUCCGAAACACCGAGCUUUCCCACCUUAUCUUCGCUAACCUCCGACCCGAUGAUUUUUUACUUGUGGGACACCCUUUUGGUAAAAAACUUUUCGGUGAACAUAACAUGAUUUAUAUGUUCGGACAGGAUCACAAAGAUCUUCGCCAUCAAAUCGCUCCUAACUUCACUCCUAGGGCUCUUUCUACCUAUACUACAUUGCAACAGAUUAUUAUUCUCCAACACUUACGGUCGUGGGAGCGUCUUUCCUCGGAAUCACCGGGGAAGCCGAUUUAUCUCCGCCUUUUAGCUCCCGACAUGAAUCUCGAAACCUCUCAAACUGUUUUCGUGGGCAGGUAUUUGUCUCGUGAAGCUCGGGAAAAGUUCAGAGACGAUUAUAAUCUAUUCAAUACACGUUUAAUGAAGCUCCUGUUUGAUCUCCCCGAUUUCGCGUUCCGAAACGCCAGGCUGGCCGUUGAGCGAUUAGUCGAAACCCUUAGUGAUUAUGCUACUCAAAGUAAAAAGAGGAUGUCUGAAGGAGACGAGCCUUCUUGUUUAAUUGAUUUUUGGAUGCAAGAAACUGUUAGAGAAAUAGCGGAGUCCAAAGAAAUAGCGGAGUCCAAAACGGCGCCACCUCGCUCUAGCGACGUAGAAAUCGGCAGUUACCUCUUUGAUUUUCUCUUCGCCGCUCAAGACGCCUCCACUUCGUUGCUCCUCUGGGUGGUGACCCUCCUCGACUCUCAUCUCGAUGUUCUCCGGAGAGUUCGAGAGGAAGUGUCAAGGAUUUGGUCGCCGGAGUCGGAUACUUUAAUAAGCGCAGAGCAACUGAGGGAAAUGAAGUACACUCAAACAGUGGCGCGUGAGGUUAUAAGAUAUCAGCCCCCGGCGGCGCUAGUACCGCACAUUGCGAUGAAGGAUUUCCCGUUGACCGAGUCGUACACGAUUCCCAAGGGCACGAUUGUGUUCCCUUCGGUUUACGAAUCAUCCUUCCAAGGGUUCACGGAGGCGGAUCGGUUCGAACCGAAGCAAUUCUCGGAGGAUAGGCAAGAGGAGGUGAUUUUCAAACGAAACUACCUGGCUUUUGGUGCUGGGCCCCACCAAUGCGUGGGCCAAAGGUACGCCUUGAAUCAUCUGGUGUUUUUUAUUGCCAUGUUCAUCACGGUGCUCGAUUUCAAGCGACGCCGAACCGAGGGCUGUGAUGAAAUCAUGUAUUGCCCGACCAUCUUUCCCAAAGACGGCUGCCGCGUCUCCUUAUCUCAGAGGUGCCCACGUUAUCCCAAUCUCACUCUGAAUUGACCAAAAAGCCCUCCAAUGUUCACUGACCUUAUUCGGUAAACUUGGUUGCUCUCUGUGAUUUGUUCUUUGCUACUUCUCACGUCCUUGAAGGUUGGGACCGUCACACUUUGUUUGUAGCUAUGAUUCUUUGGUUUUAAUAUUUUAUUAAUGAUGAUUAUAUGUGGUAAUUUUAAUUUUAAAAAACAUUGAAUUAUAUAUUUGACGAAAUAAAACUUAAUUAAUUAAAAAUUGAUAUUAGUACAAUUAUGAUUGAAACGAACUAUUUAUGAGCAUGAUAAAUUGGUAUUUAUGGGUAAUAAUAAAGUAUAAAGUUGAUGAAAUAUGAGUGAAACUGACAUAAAGUUGGCAGUUAGUGAAGUAAUGCACAUGUUGGUUGGAAUCAAGCGGUGGUCCAUGCUUUCCAUCUGCAUUGUCAAUGUUGUAUCUUUGUAUUUGGAUUUUCAUAACUUAAACGUCUGUUAGUGUUAGUCUGUUCACAGCUGAGAUUGUAGUAAUAGAGUAUAUUGUGUCUUUUAUUUCUGUAGUGUUAGCUGUAAUAAUGAAGUAUAUCGUAAUUUCAAUUUCAAAUCUUAAAAUACAACAAUUUCACUAUAACAUACUCAAUAAUAUAAUUUCGAAUUUCAUGUGAUGAUCUGACGGUCAAGAGUGUUUAACGCCCCAGGUAUGACCUGAGUUCGAGUUGCGCUAAUCAUGUUUAUUUUUUGGGCUUUGCCUUAUUAUUGUUUGGGUUGGAAUGGUAAAAUUAGGUAAAAGUAUCAAAGAAGCAUAUGUAUUUAAUAGUAAUUUGUGUUUCGAUCUUUCUAUUAAAAAAUGCAUCAAUUAAUCUUAAUAUAUUUCAAAGCAUGUAAAUUAGUCUUUCCACUAAAUUUUAUCUCUUAAAUGAUGAUGUCGAAUGUUAUUUUAAAUGAUUAAUUACUAAUUUAGUCCUUGAAUUAUAGUUGAAAGCCAUUUUAAUUUUUUUUUAAAUUUCUUACCAAUAAUUUUAAAAAAUAAAAAAUCUUAAAUAUAAUUAAAAAUAUUAAAAAUCAUGUUAAAACAAAAUCAAAUCCAGAUUUAUUAAAGCCAAAUGUUCCAUUCAAAUAAAUUCUUUUUUGGUGAAUCAUGAUUUUUUUUUUCUGAAAAAUUGAUCUCACUCUCAAUAAUAGGGAGAUAUUUUCAUCUUCAAUAAAAUUUUCGAUUUGAUGAAAACUAUCUAAUGCAAUAAGACACUAACCUUAUCUGUUGAAAAUGCUCUCCAAUGCAAUUCUAAAAGCAUUUAUUUAAUGGUUUUAUUACUAUUGAAAUACAAUCAAACCAAAGAAACAACACAUCUACAAUAAACAACAUAUUUAGCAAUAAAGAAGAAAAUGAAGACAAUGAGCUCCUUUCGCUACUUUUUCAUCUCUAGAGAUGACUUGAUGGCUUUAGGGUUUUAUUUUAAAUUAAAAUUUCAUUUUUUACUUUUUAUUUCUUCUCAUAAAUUGAAACACUAAUUCUAAAAUUUCAAAACCCACGGAGUUCUUAUUAAGAACCUAAAAAUUUAUAUUAAAAAUUCAAAAUCUAGAAAUUGUUAAACCUAGUAACUUAAAGAUUAAAGCUUCUUAGGGUAUUAAACAAGAAAAUCUUCAAAUGGGAAUGUUUAUAAUAGCUGAUGGGAUGCAAAAAUGAGUAAUCAAAAUUUUAUAACAGUGAUUACAUACCACCAAGAGAUGUGAAAAUGAGUAUUCGCCAAAGUAGAAGAAAGUAAACAUUAAAUAAACUUUCAUGUACGUUUUAGUUGGAAGCAUGAACGAUGAAGAUGAAACUAAGAAUUAACGAAAGCAUGAGAAACUUGAAAGUGAGUAAUCAAAACUUUUAGUUUAUUUAUUUUUUCUUAAAUAAAGUUUUUAUUUAUUUAUAGCUUCAAUCAAGCAUUGAAUUUUUAUUUUUAUUUUUCUGGGUUUGGUAAAACAGGGAAAAAAAGUUUUGUUAAAAGGUCAUGAUUUCUACUUUUGAUUGGAUAAUUUGAUAAAAAAAAUUAAGAUUUCUUUUUGUAAGAUUUUUAGAUUGUUUUACAUAUAUAUUUUGAAAUUUUAUUUUUUUAAAAAGAUUUAACAUUAUUUUAAAUAUAUCUUUUAACAAUUUAUAUUUAUUUUAAGAUUUAUUUUAAAAUUUUUAGAAUUAUUGUUAAUAAUUUUAAAAAAAAUCAAAAUGAUAUUUUAGCUAUAGUAAACAGAUCAAAUUAGUAAUUAAUCAUUUAAAGUAACGUUCCACAUUAUCAUUUAGCAGACCAAAUUUAAAGUAGGGGUUAAGUUGCAUGUUUUGAAAUGUAUAAGAAUUUAUUUAUCCAUUUUUUUAAUAGAGGGGUCAAAACGUAAUCUACCUCAAAAUGUAAGGGCUUUCUUAAUACUUUUAAUGUAAAAUGAAGACAUUGAAAAGAUUAAACUAACUAAAAGUUAAUAUUUUGAAUAAUUUUGUUAAACACGUUUAAUAAUCUAUAAUAAAAUUGAAAUGAUAAAAAAUUUCAAUAAAAUGAAUGUAGGUUUCAUAAUCCAUAAUAAAAUUGAAAUGAUAGAUUUUUUUAAUAAAAAAUAUAAAAUUAAUAAUAGAUAAAAUGGUUCUUUUUUUUUUUUGGUUGCUUCCCUUGCAUUAGCAUUCAAAAUAUUAGAUAUAUUCAUUCAUACUGAAUCGUGUAAAGCUUAUUGUCCAGGUUGGCCUUCAAAUACUAUUUGGUUGCUAUAAUUACAAAGGAUAAUCCUGGAUACAAAAUUCAUAAACUUGGUUAUAUAACCAUCGCAAUAAUUCAAGACACCUCACUCAAUAAUUGAGUUAUUUAAUGCAUUAUGUCAUUUAUGAGGUGAGGAUUUGGAUGUGACGAUCUAUUUGUUAAACUAGAUCAUCAUCACUCCCAAUAAUUAAAAACUUCUACGUCAGUGUUCAAUAUAUUUAUGGUGGCUAGACAUUAAUUUUCAAAUUUAGAACAUCUUUGAUUUUAAUUUUGAUCAAAUAUUUGGAAAUCAAGCUGGUCCCAUUGAAUCAGUAUUUCAUUUGAGCUUUUUAGGCUGUUUUACUUAAAUAGUCUAAAAAAUGUUAUAUUUACAAAAAUAACUCAGGUUUAAAAACAAUCACCAAAAUAACCUGAUAUGAACAGUAAAAUGAGAUUUUAGCCUGUCAAUGGCCGGAACCAACUCGUAUUUUGGACUCAUGAUUGUCUGAUAAUUGUGUCAGAGUUAAAAAAAAAUGAUUUUUUUGGUUCUAGUCUGUCAAUGGCCGAAACCAGUGUAUUUUUUUUAAAUUGUAUAAUACUGAUAUACAAAAUAGAAAAAAAAUAAAAAAAUUUUUGAGUGUUGGCCUGUCAAUGGCCGGCACCCCUGUACACGGAAUUUUUUUUUCUAGUUUUGGUCUAUCAAUAGCCGGCACUAAAACACGAAAAAAUUAAUUUUUUUUGGUGGCCUGCCAAUGGCCGGCACCACCAUUUUUGGGGAAACUUUUUUUUUCACUUUUUUCGUGUAAAUAGCAGAUAUCAGUAUACGAAAAAAGUAAAAAAAAAAUUGGUAGUGGCCUGCCAAUGGCCGACACCACAAUAACCUUUUUUGUAUAUCAGUAUUAUACAAUUUAAAAAAAAUACACUGGUUCCGGCCAUUGACAUAUCAGAACAAAAAAAAUCAUAUUUUUAACUCUGACAUAAUUAUUAGGCAAUCAUGGGUCUAAAAUACGAGUUGGUUCCGACCAUUGAUAGGCCACAACUCCAUUUUACUGUUCAUUUCAAGUUAUUUUUGUGAUUAUUUUUAAACCUAAGUUAUUUUUAUAAAUAUAAUAUUUUUUUAGACUAUAUAGGUAAAACAACCAGUUUUUUAAGUUAUCAAUAAAUAUUAUUAAAAGAUAUUAAUAAAGCUUAUAAUGUAAUCAUAAAGAAAUCAAUUUUCUCUUAUUAAAAAAAUAUUAAAGAAAAAAGGAAUUAUAUCCCACAUUUAAACAUUUGAGAGGCCGUAAACAAUAUUCACACUAGAUUAAAACACGACCAAUGUUAGAAUUUGUGUUCUAAAAUUUUCAGUAAAUCUUAAUUCUCCAUCCAAAGUUAAUAUAAAAGGAAAAUAGAUAUUACAAACCGGUGGUGCCACUUUCAAUCUUUUGCUUCAUAAAUAGGAUUUCCUUGUUUAUAAACAUUAGUAAAGAAUAAUUUAAUUAUUUUCUUUUUAAUUAUCUCACUUUUUUCUUAAAGUAAGUAAAAUGUAUUUUAUUGUUUUAUUAUUACUUUUUUAAUCGAAUUUGUUUUAAUCUUACAUUCGCCAUUCGCCAAUACCAUUAACACACUGUUUAGUCUGCCAACUGCAAAAUGCACGAGUCAAAGAAGAAGAUUAGUCUGCCAUCGACAGCGCACAACUUUCGUGGGUGCUGGGGUCAAAAGAAAAAAAGAGGUUAUUUUACCCAAAUAGUUCAAAAAAAUAUUUUAUUUACAAAAAAUAAUUCAAGUUUAAAAACAAUAACGAAAAGAACUUGAAAUAAACAGUAAAAUCAGGUUGUGACUUGCAAAUGGCCGGAACCAACUCGUAUUUUAGACCCAUGAUUACCUAAUAAUUGUGUCAAACUUAAAAAAAUAAUUUUUUUUUGGUUUUGGCCUCUCAAUGGCCGGAACCAGUAUAUUUUUUUAAGAUUUUAUAAUACUGAUAUACAAAAAGGAAAAAAAUUUGGGUGUUGACCUGUCAAUGGCCGGCACCCUUGUACACGAAAAAAAAUUUGAAUUUUGGUCUGUCAAUGGCCAGUAUCAGAAUACGAGAAAAAAUAAAAAAAUUCCUUUUUUGGUGGUGGUCUAGCAAUGGCCGGCACCACCUUUUUUUUUAAAAAUUUUUUUUAUUUUUUUCGUAUUAGAUGAAACUAUCAGUAUAUGAAAAUAGUAAAAAAAAAUUAAAAAGAUGGUGCAGGCCAUUCCCAAACCAAGACCAAAAAAAAUAACUUUUUUUACUUUUUUCGUCACAUCCAGAUCCUGGGGAUAGUUGACCUCACCUCAUAAAUGACAUAAUGCCUUAAAUAAUUUAUACAAGUCCUCAUCUUUGUUACAGUAUAAUUUGGUCAUAUCUCCCUUUCCAUAUUUUUUUUAUUUUAAGAAAUAGUCAAUAACAUAAAACAUAUAUUCUUAAUGGGCGAAUGAAAUUUUAAGUUUUUAUAAUGGCGGGGAACCCAAUGUACUAUUCACUGCCUCUCAGCCUCACAUCUUCAUUACUUGCAUUCCCUUCCCAAUCUAUAAUAAUAAACCCAUCAACUAAAUCGAAUUUAAAAUCUAUCUUUACCACUAUGUACAGUAAUUCUACUUGAUGAUAAAUUAAAUUCCUAAAAAAUAAUUAAAAAAAAAACACUUCAACAAAACUGCAAGUAAUUGGUGAUGUUAGCAAUGACUUAUGACACUAACAUCUCGAAGCUGUUUCUCAGUUUGGUUGAUGGCCAGUUUCCUGUUGGGACUUUUCAACAAGACAGACACAAGUGCCAUCGUAGGAAGGGAAAAGGACAAUUUUCACACUAUUUAUUGCUCAAUUUGACUUGCUCCCCUCUCUAUUUGUAGCUUUUUUUGCUUUUUCUAUAAUUACCUUUUCACUUUGAAAUUUCCUUCGUUUAUUAUAAAAUUAGAUGCAACCAAAUAUAUUUCAAUUACAUUUAUACUAAAACAAGUAUUAAAAUUAAUAAUUAUAUUCAAUAACUUAAUUAAACUAAUUAAUAUUAUUAGUUAAUACAAUUGACAUAAUUACAUUUAUAUUCAAUUACUUCAUAAAGCAACAUUAUUUAAAAUAAUAACUAACUGACAUAAUUAAAUUAUUUUAAUCAUUCAAAUAUAAUACUAAUAAAAAUAUUUUAAUCAUUAUUAAAUUAUUUGUACAAAGCUGAGAAAAUGUAAAUUAAACUCUUCACUAUUCAAAUUGUUCAUUUUUUAUUAGUCAAUAAAUUGACUUCAUAAAUAAUAUAUAAUCAAUACAAUUAUAAUACAUUAGAUGAAUUAUUUAUAAAAUCUUAUAUAUUAAAUAUUGGAGUUACUCUUUUUCUUUUGAAGCAAAGUAAUAUAUCUUUUAGUUAAGGAAACAUAAUAAUUUAAACAUAUUAUUUUUAUCUAAUAAAUAUAAAGUAGUUUAAUAUAAAAUUUAUUUUUAUUAUUAUAUAGAUUCAUUUAAUAAAUUUUUUAAAAUAGAAUCAAAAUUUUUAUUUAGAUAAAAUUUCUUAUUAGUGAAAUUAAAAAUAUGGUGGCAAAUCUUAGAAAUAAUAAAAGAAAACAUGGUUUUGUUUUUGCCAUCUGCCCCUCCAAUCUUACUAUAAAUAAUUAAUUAGCUAAACGUAUGGCUGAAUUCAUUGGUUGAGUUGGCAUGAAUAUGAUAUUGAUUGGUUGAUGUAUAAAUCCAAUUUAAAAUUGGAAUGAUUUAUAUAUUGAUGCGCAUUGUUGUUGAAGAGAAAACAAGAAUAUCUUUAUUUCCACUAUAGUUUUCUCCACCCAAAGAAGCAAUGCAGCUGCAGAAGGAUAUGUACUAGUUUAAAGAUUAAAUCAAAAAUUAAUUAAGAGUUUUGUCUGUACCUGGAUUUUGCAAAUCAACUUUGCAAAUAUCAGAAUCCUUAUUGCCAACCUGUUGGCGGUUUGAUCACAUAGGCGAAAUAAUUUUAAAUUCCGAAACGAUUAAAGCAAUUUUAACCAUGAUAAUUUUGGCUUGCAACAUAUAUAUAUAUAUUCGAAAAUUGCAGCGUCUACCACGAAAAACACCUUGUAAUAUUUCAUAUAAUAGAAUAGUAACAUAUUAAAAACAAUAAUUUAAUCGAUUCAAAAGAUUCUUUUUAGACCUACACUAUUUAUAAAAAAAAUAACAAAUAUAAUUAGAAUAUAUGAAGAGAUUUUUUUUAAAAAAUUAUAUAUUUUAAAAAUUAUUAUUUAAACUCGAUAACGCAGGUCAAAGUUUUCAUUUGAUAAUAUUAAAAUAAUUUUAUAUUGCGUGGACUUGUGGAAUUCUUUGUACUCUAGAACAAUUUAAGAAGGGAUGGAGUUGUAUCAGGUUUUUCAUUGCUCUGUACAAGUUGAAAACUCAAGGCGGAGAUCGACUUGAUUUCCAGCUAUUUAUUUCGAAAAGGACUCUGCUGACCUCAAUCCUUCCAAUGCUUGCCAAACUCUUUCGUCAUUAGAUGUUGAUAUAAUAUUUUUGUAAAUACAAAUAUUUUUUUGGGCUAUUUAGGUAAAAUAGCCAAAAAAAAAAAAUGACAAAUUUUGACAUUGAAAUCUCAACACCUUCCCCCCUGCUUUGACCAUCCAUUCCCUCUAUUUAAAUUCUUUCUGCCAUUCCCAAUUUCCUCUGCACACCCAGAAGAAAAUGGUCGCUUGUUUCUCUUUUCUUUUCCCUCUUGCUCCAUUUUUUGUCACCUUUUUGUUUCUUAUCCUUUUCCUGGAACAGAUCUCUUACUUGUGCAAAAAGCGAAAUGUCCCUGGCCCCAACAUCGUCUUGCCUUUCUUGGGCAACGCCAUUUCAUUAGUCACAAAACCCACAAGGUUCUGGGAAGUUCAAGCUGAUUUGGCUACUUCUCUUGGAUUUUCUGUUAAUUAUAUCAUUGGUUGCUUCAUUGUCUUUAUCCGAAGCACCGAACUUUCCCACUAUAUCUUCGCCAACGUCCGACCCGAUGCUUUUUUACUUGUGGGACACCCUUUCGGUAAAAAGCUUUUCGGUGAACAUAACAUGAUUUAUAUGUUCGGACAGGAUCACAAAGAUCUUCGUCGUCAAAUUGCUCCUAACUUCACUCCUAGGGCUCUCUCUACCUAUACUGCAUUGCAACAGAUUAUCAUUCUCCAACACUUAAAGUCAUGGGAGCGUCUUUCCUCGGAAUCGCCGGGAAAGCCAAUUUCUCUCCGCCUUUUAGCUCGCGACAUGAAUCUCGAAACCUCUCAAACUGUUUUCGUGGGCAGGUAUUUGUCUCAUGAAGCUCGGGACAAGUUCAGAGACGAUUAUAAUCUAUUCAAUACAGGUUUAAUGAAGCUCCCGUUUGAUCUCCCCGGUUUUGCGUUUCGAAACGCCAGGCUGGCCGUUGAGCGAUUAGUCGAAACCCUUGGUGAUUGUGCUACUCAAAGUAAAAAGAGGAUGUCUGAAGGAGAUGAGCCUUCUUGUUUAAUUGAUUUUUGGAUGCAAGAAACUGUUAGAGAAAUAGCGGAGUCCAAAAUGGCGCCACCUCACUCUAGCAACGUAGAAAUCGGCAGUUACCUCUUUGAUUUUCUCUUCGCCGCUCAAGACGCCUCCACUUCAUCGCUCCUCUGGGCGGUGACCCUCCUCGACUCUCAUCCCGAUGUUCUCCGGAGAGUUCGGGAGGAAGUAUCAAGGAUUUGGUCGUCGGAGUCCGAUACUUUAAUAAGCGCAGAGCAACUGAGGGAAAUGAAGUACACUCAAGCAGUGGCGCGUGAGGUUAUAAGAUAUCGGCCCCCGGCGACGCUAGUACCGCACAUUGCGAUGAAGGAUUUCCCGUUGACCGAGUCGUACACGAUUCCCAAGGGCACGAUCGUGUUCCCCUCGGUUUACGAAUCAUCCUUCCAAGGGUUCACAGAGGCGGACCGGUUCGAACCAGAGCGAUUCUUGGAGGAUAGGCAAGAGGAGGUGAUUUUCAAACGAAACUACCUUGCUUUCGGUGCUGGGCCCCACCAGUGCGUGGGCCAAAGGUACGCCUUAAAUCAUCUGGUGCUUUUCAUUGCAAUGUUCGUCACGGUGCUCGAUUUCAAGCGACACCGAACCGAGGGCUGUGAUGAAAUCAUGUAUUGCCCGACCAUCUGUCCCAAAGACGGCUGCCGCGUCUCCUUAUCUCGGAGGUGCUCGCGUUAUCCCAAUCUCUCUCUUAAUUGACCAAAAAGCCCUCCAAAGUUCUCUCGCCUUCUUUUCCGGUGAACUUGGUAGCUCUCUGUGAUUUUUGUCCUUUGCUGCUUCUCACGUCCUUCAAGGCUGGGACCGUCAAACCUUGUUUGUGGCUAUGAUUCUUUGAUGUGAGGUAUUUUUAUGUACAUACACAUUGAUGGAGGGUUUGGAUAAUUUCUUCUUUUUUUUUCCCUUAAUUUAAUAAAUGAAAAUUGGUUGGUGUUUUAUCAAAUAAACAAAAAAUUGUAUUUUAAAGUUGUAAUGUUCAUUUCUCAUUGUAAGUUGAGAUUCACAUGAAUGGACAAGUUCGAAAAGGUCCUUAAAAUAUUAAUUGGUCACAAUAAUUACUAUAAUUACAAAGGACAAUCCUGCAUACAAAAUUCAUAAAACCAUUGCAAUAAUUUAAGACAGCUUACUCCAAUAAUAGAGUUAUGUGUUUGCAUAAUAAUGAUAAUAAUAAUGGUGUCAUUUGAUCACUAUCUUCUUUAGUUUGCAUCAGUAUCCUUGGAAUAUAACUUGGCAUUUUAGGCAAAAAUGCCAAUAAUUCUGACUUUGAAAUUAGCUUUUUUAACACGAUAAAAGUAUUUUAUGCAUAAGUAAUCCAUGUUAUACUCGUGCCCAUAUCGUUUUCGCUACCGACAGAAAUGUGUUGCCGAGUACUAUUUUUGGAUUUAUUAUUAUUUUCAAAUAUUUUUCAUAUUUAUUUUUUAGUUUUUUAAUAAAUUAGGUUACAAGAAUGAGAAUUUAAGUUACAUCCCACUAUCUUAUCCUCACUCUCAAUUAUAAAAAAUUAAUAAUUUAAUUUAAAAUAUCAAAAUUUUAUAUUAAUCAAUAUAAAUCAGAAUGAACUGCCCUCAAAUUUUAAUCAAAAGUUACGAUUUGACUUAAAUGAUAUUAACUACUAUGAUUUGAGUUGAUAUCAUUUAGAUGGACAUGAAAUUUAGACUGCAACAUAAAAAUUCAAAAUUUAUCUUCUUCAUUUGAAUUUGUAUUUAUUUUACUAAAACAAAAUGACAAGUGACAUGGAAUAACAUUGGCUAAUAUAUUAAUUUUAGCAGAUAUAUAACUAAAUAUUUCAUUGCAAAACCUAUAUUAUAAUUAUACUUAUCAUGGGUUAGGUCAUUUGUCCAGAUCCGAAGGUCUGCUUGAAAAGUGUAUGCAUUUAAGCAAAAAUAUAAGUAUAAAAAUAGGCUUGGACAAAAAAUAAUACUCGUCUUUUUAAAGAAUCAAGCCUAGAGUAAGUUUUUUCCUAGGCCCAAUCUAAAAUUGCCUAAAUAUUUUUUUCAUUCUUGUUUGCUACUAUUUUGCCAUGGUUUGCUGCCAUUUUGAUAUUUUACUGUCAUUUUGCUAUUAUAUUAUUACUAUUUUAAAGGUAGUUUUUUUAUUGUAUUAUAAUUAUCCUAGUGUUAUUUAAGUAUAAAUAUUUUUUUAAUGUAUAUUCUAUUUGUUCAGAAACAUUCAUUCUAAUGUUUUUAGUGUAUUUAAUGUAUUAUUUUUUUAAAUUUGUUUUUAUAUAUAUAAAAAACAUAAAACGGGCGGGUCAAAUCAAGCUCAACAUUUUUUAUUUAGGCUAGACUUGAACAAAAUUUUAAGCCCAUUUUUAGGAUUGAGCCAUACCUACGCCUAGAAAACGGGCUUAACAUUUUGUAUUACUCCGAUCUGGCCAUGAUCAGGUCAAGCGAUAACCCCCAAAAUUAAAAGAAAUGAGGAAUUAAAGUUAUUAUUAUAUCAUAAAUUUAUACUUUACAAGUUUAAAAUGGGGUUAAUUAAUGUUUUAAUGCUGAAAAAGAUUUAUACAAAAUUUUAAUUUCUAACCGCAAAAAAAUAAUUAAAUAAAAACGCGUUCUAUAAGUCGCAUUUUCACUUCUCUCAAAAAAUAAAGUAAAUCGAUAAAUUUUAAAAUAUCAACUUAGAUUCUCAAAUAAAUUUUUUUUCCAAUAUAUACAUAAAUUAACAUUUAAAAUGGUUAAAAAGUGUUUUUUCUUUUAUUUACUUCACUUUAUGGUAACGGUGUUAAAUUAUUUCUAAAAAACAAAAAGAGAAAAGGAGAUAUGGCUAAAUUAUAUCGCGAGAAAGAUGAAUGGUUAUAAAUGUAAGGCGUUAGGUCUUUAUAGGUCAACUAUUCCCAGGACCGGGGUGUGACGAUCCAUUUAUUAAUUAAAACCUUCUAGAAAGAUUGAAUUUGAAAUUUAAAAUAUGUUUGAUUUUAGUUGUGUUUUGAAAUCAAAAUGAUCCCAUUGAUUUGAGUUAUCAAUUAAUAUUAUUAAAAGAAGUUAAUAACGUUUAAGAGUUGGCCCUAAUUUAAAACAUGAUCAAGGUUAGGGGACUAUAUCCCACUUUUAAACAUUUAAGAGGCCCCAAAGAAUAUUCAAAGAAGAAGGCCCUAAAUUAAAACACGAUCAACGUUACAAUUUGUUAUAUUCCUGGAAAGAUUUUCCUUUUUCUUUUCUUUCUCCAGUAGUCUAAAAUUUUGUGUCAACAGAAUUCUCCGUCCCAAGUCGAUAUAAAACACACAUUCAAUUAUUAGUAGAUUUACGUUUUGAUCAUUCAAUUUUAAAAUGUUAUACAGUAGCCAUUGAAUUAUUUGAAAGAUUUUGUUAAAAUCAUUAUUAUAUGACAUUCUCCAUUUGUAUGGCCUACAUCAAUCAAAAACUCUCCUUUUUUCUCCUAUAUUCUAUAUUUAAUUUCUUUUUCCAUGAAACCACUUUAAACCUCACGAUUUUGCAAACUAAAAGCCAAACAGGUUUCUUCUCCGAUCUCUCACACUGACUGUCAGAUUGAUUUGGAUCUUAGGUAUGUCCUUCUACUCGUCGAUGGGUAUUCAUCCACCAUAUUAACCAACGAAUUGUUGCUUAAAGCUCAUUAGCCGAACUUUAUAAAAGGAAAAUUUAACAACCAAGUGACUUAAAUAAAAACUUUUGAAUAGUUCAAUGACUUAAAUGAAAUUUUUGAAUAAUUCAAUGACCACUUUAUAAAUUGACCAAAAUAUAAACUUAUUAAUAAUUUAGUGACUUUAAAUGUAAUAUACUCAUAUAAAAAAAAUAGAUUCUAUGAACUGGUGGUGCCACUUUCAACCUUUUAAUUUUUAAACUCUCAUGACAAAUAGGGUUUGCUUGUUUAUAAGUAUUAGCCUUUAAUGUCACAUGUGUUACACAUUAUUUUAUACAUUUUUAAUUUAUAGAAUAAUAUAUUUUUUAAAAUUUAAAAAUACAUUUAUGUUGAUUAAAUUGUACUAAAUGUCAAUUUCUUUUGAAAAAUAAUGGAGAGACUAAAACAACGUAUUAAAAAUAAUAAAAACAAAAAUUGAAUUAAUGUAUAAAAUAAUCAAAAUAAUAUACAAAUUUGAAAAUAUAUGAGAAAGUAAAUACAAAAAUAUAUACACAAAAUCAACGAUGACUAAAAAAUAGUUGUAAAAUUUUGAAUUUCUUUUCAAAACAAAUAUUUUAUUUUCAUCAAGCAAAUAAUAGAUAAAGAAAAGAAUAGAUUUAAGAUUACUUGCUUUGUGUAGAAUAAACAACUUACAAUUUUUAAAAAAGUAAUAUCAUGAUAUUAUAUUACCUCAUCAUCAAUUAAAAUAAAAUUUUAUCUCAUUUUGGUGUCAUUAUUAUUCGAACAUAAUUCGAUAUUGACUCUUCAAAGAAACAUUAGCACUGCUUGAAUGCUUUAUUCUUUUUUCUAUAAUUCUAUCUUAUUAUCAUUAAUCGCUAACAAUAUUCGUUUCUUACUGUAAUUUUUCUUAAAUGCUCUACGUGGUUGCAUAUACCUAACCAUUGAGUGUUACUUAUAAAGCUAAAAUUAAAUUUUAAUUGAUAUACAACUCUAAUAUUAAUUAAAUGAUAAUCAAGAUACUUAUAGCUUUAUUCAAUUAAUAAAUCUAUUUUUACAUAAAUAAUAUUGGCAUAAUAUUUUUUAAAAAAUAAAAUAAUAAUUAUAAUAGGGUCAAAAUUAAAGUAUAACUAUUUUUAAUUAAUAAUUAUAAUUAUAAUUAUAAUUAUAAUUUAAUCAUCACAAGUUUUUCUAUAUUUUAUACUUAUAAUUCUAUACAAGUAAUAAUUCUAUUAUGAAAUUAGCAAAAAAUUAUUUUCAUAAAAGAAAGUUUUAAAUAAAAAUUAUAAAUUUAAUUAUAAUUAUUUUUAAAUGUGUAAUUAUCACAACUUCUAUUUUAAGUUAACAUUUUUAAUUAAAUAUUUUAAAUAUUUUUAAAUAUCAAUUUAAUAAUAUGAUGAAAAAUGAAGAAUAUUUUUGUUAGUUCAAAAGUUUUUCUAAACCGUAAUUUUAUAUAUACUAAAGAUUAAUAAAGAGUAAUUUAAUUAUUAUUUUAAAAUUUUGUAAUAUUUAAUCAUCCUACUUUUUCAUAAAUUUAAUAAGAAGUAAUUUUUUUAUUACAUGUUUAUUGUUUUAAUAUCACAAUCACCACUGCCAUGAAACACUGAUGAUAUUUUCUAAUAAACGGCACGUAUCUAAAAGCGUAGGAGACUUGGCAUCCUUUAUUAAAUGAUACAAUAUACCCUUUAAAUAUUUUAAGAAUUUAAAUUUAAACUAAUUUUUUCCGAAUAAUUUAAUUUAAUUUAAUAUUAAAUUUAAAAAAUAAUAAUUCAAUUUAAAAUAUUUUAGGGUUAAAAUAUAAAUUUAUCAUUAUAAUUUGUUUUCAUUGAUAUGUGCCAUUAUAUUUUAAUAAUAUGAGCAAAAUUAAUAUUUAACUUUUAUGCGAUUUAAUUCUAUUACUAACCUUUUAUUUUAUUUUUGAAAUUUGCAAUCAAUUUUGAUUUUUUUAAUUAAAUUUUACAGCUCAACGUUAAAUUUGAUAAUUUGAAAACUUGAUUUAAUAAAAAAAUAUUUUAUUUUAAUAGUUAAUAAUGAUUUAACUUAUAAAUAUUAAAAAUUAAUAAAUUAACUUAGAAGUUGUAUUUAAUGAAUCGAAAACUUGAAAUAAUAAGAAAAACAAGUUUAUUUUAUAAAAUAACCAUUUUUAUUUAUUUUAAUAUUAUAUUAAUUAAAUUAUUAUUGAUAAAUAUUAAAGUAAAAUAUAAAAAAUGAUUUAUUAAAUUUGGUCUUCAAAUUAUUUAAAAUUAAACUUGGCAAAAUUCAAAUUAAAUUUUAACUUUAAAAUCAAAUAAAGGUAAAAAAAUCAAAAUAGAGUAUAAUGAUAAAUUUAUCUUUAAUUUAUAAGAACAAUGAUAAAAUAUUAAUCAUGAUUUUCAAUUUCCGCUGAAAAUAUAGUCACCAAAUUGCAUAUUAACCAAACAUUUUAAUAUAAAAUUAUAAGAUAUGGCGUUUUAAAAAAAAUGUUUCAUCUCCACCCAAAACAAAACUUUUAAUUUUGUGCUUACCAAUAAAUAGAGUGAAAACGGGUGGGAUAUAUAAAAUUUAAUCUUAAAGUAGGGCAAAGGCAGAACAAUUUUUUAUGGCGAAUGAAAUUUUAACUUUUUAUAUUGUCUAUAUCUUUAUAAUUUUUAAAGGAUUAAAUUUAAUUUUUAUAAUUUUAAGAAGGCCAAAAUAUAAUUUAUCUUUAUUAAUUUAAAAUUUUAAAAAAAAACUAAAGGACCUAAAUGACAAAAUUUCAUUUUAGGGGGGCCGGGUCCCAUUGCCCCCCGGGCGAAUCGCCUCUGCCCUAAAGGAUGCUUCCAACCAUGUGAAAGAUAAUUUGCCUCAUUGAUGAUGCAAUGAAGAUGUUGGGUCAAAGAAAAAAGUGAUAAGCAACCGAAGAAAAGAAGGUCAAACAGCCUAAUUGGAGGUCCAAAUUAGUAUAUGGAGAUUAGCAUUUGGCAAAUUAGCAUGUUAGCCGAAAGCCAAACUGUGCUGGCCACCUACGUCAAAGAAAAACAAAUAUGACUAGUCUAGAAAGAUUGUUUUGAAUGAGAAUAGUUUGAUGGUUUCGUGGUCACUUGGGAUAAUUAAAGAAUGACAAAAAUUGACUAUUGUCUGAAAUAUUAUCAACUCAAAUCUUGAAACAUCUCUUACUUGGUAAUUUAGAGCUGAACCAAAACUAAAUAAUGUUUGUAAAAAUAGAUUAGCGACUUAAAAUGGCAGUGUCUGUGUGAUAAUGGCGGGGAACCCAAUGUACUAUUCACUGCCUCUCAGCCUCACAUCUUCAUUACUUGCAUUCCCUUCCCAAUCUAUAAUAAUAAACCCAUCAACUAAAUCGAAUUUAAAAUCUAUCUUUACCACUAUGUACAGUAAUUCUACUUGAUGAUAAAUUAAAUUCCUAAAAAAUAAUUAAAAAAAAAACACUUCAACAAAACUGCAAGUAAUUGGUGAUGUUAGCAAUGACUUAUGACACUAACAUCUCGAAGCUGUUUCUCAGUUUGGUUGAUGGCCAGUUUCCUGUUGGGACUUUUCAACAAGACAGACACAAGUGCCAUCGUAGGAAGGGAAAAGGACAAUUUUCACACUAUUUAUUGCUCAAUUUGACUUGCUCCCCUCUCUAUUUGUAGCUUUUUUUGCUUUUUCUAUAAUUACCUUUUCACUUUGAAAUUUCCUUCGUUUAUUAUAAAAUUAGAUGCAACCAAAUAUAUUUCAAUUACAUUUAUACUAAAACAAGUAUUAAAAUUAAUAAUUAUAUUCAAUAACUUAAUUAAACUAAUUAAUAUUAUUAGUUAAUACAAUUGACAUAAUUACAUUUAUAUUCAAUUACUUCAUAAAGCAACAUUAUUUAAAAUAAUAACUAACUGACAUAAUUAAAUUAUUUUAAUCAUUCAAAUAUAAUACUAAUAAAAAUAUUUUAAUCAUUAUUAAAUUAUUUGUACAAAGCUGAGAAAAUGUAAAUUAAACUCUUCACUAUUCAAAUUGUUCAUUUUUUAUUAGUCAAUAAAUUGACUUCAUAAAUAAUAUAUAAUCAAUACAAUUAUAAUACAUUAGAUGAAUUAUUUAUAAAAUCUUAUAUAUUAAAUAUUGGAGUUACUCUUUUUCUUUUGAAGCAAAGUAAUAUAUCUUUUAGUUAAGGAAACAUAAUAAUUUAAACAUAUUAUUUUUAUCUAAUAAAUAUAAAGUAGUUUAAUAUAAAAUUUAUUUUUAUUAUUAUAUAGAUUCAUUUAAUAAAUUUUUUAAAAUAGAAUCAAAAUUUUUAUUUAGAUAAAAUUUCUUAUUAGUGAAAUUAAAAAUAUGGUGGCAAAUCUUAGAAAUAAUAAAAGAAAACAUGGUUUUGUUUUUGCCAUCUGCCCCUCCAAUCUUACUAUAAAUAAUUAAUUAGCUAAACGUAUGGCUGAAUUCAUUGGUUGAGUUGGCAUGAGUAUGAUAUUGAUUGGUUGAUGUAUAAAUCCAAUUUAAAAUUGGAAUGAUUUAUAUAUUGAUGCGCAUUGUUGUUGAAGAGAAAACAAGAAUAUCUUUAUUUCCACUAUAGUUUUCUCCACCCAAAGAAGCAAUGCAGCUGCAGAAGGAUAUGUACUAGUUUAAAGAUUAAAUCAAAAAUUAAUUAAGAGUUUUGUCUGUACCUGGAUUUUGCAAAUCAACUUUGCAAAUAUCAGAAUCCUUAUUGCCAACCUGUUGGCGGUUUGAUCACAUAGGCGAAAUAAUUUUAAAUUCCGAAACGAUGAAAGCAAUUUUGGGAAGCAAUAAGUUUACCAAAGUUCAUUGUGGGCUUUUCUACUUAUAUACAAAAACAUAAAAAUAUCUAAUAUUGUACACUACAUUGUUCAAUGAAUGACAAGAAAGAGGUGGUGGAAGGUGGACAGUACUAUUCUUAAAAUCUAACACAAACAGUUGACAGUUUAAAAGAAAAAUAUAAAAUAUUUUUUCUAAUGGUGCAACCUUUUUUUAUAAGCGGAACCAAAGUAUUUUUCUCAUAAUGAUGCCCAUAAAAAAGGCGGCAAUAAAUUUAGAUAGUAGUGUCUAUGAGAAAAGUGACAUUAACUAUUAUCCUAUUAUUUAGAAAGAAUUAGAUAAAUUCACAUCGUAACUACUCAUUCAAAUUUAUAUAAUUAUCUUAUUGAUAUCACCAUCAUUUCUGAAGAAUCAUGGUGUCUAUUUAAAAGUUAAGAAACUAGAAUUCUUAAUGAUUGAUGUAUAUAUAAUAUAAUCACACUACAUAGUUAAAGUUUUUGAACUGACCCACAUGCAAAUAGCAUCUAAUAUUGUUGUAUAUAUUACUGAAAAUUUGAAGAACAAAACUACUUUUUAUAUACAUAUAGAAACAAAUUCCCUUCAAUACAAGCUUCUCGAAGCAUUGCUCCACGUUUACUAUUGUUUUAGCACUGCAUUCAAGAAACAUGAAUCCAAUAGGAUAACAAUUAGUGCCCCCUGCUCAUGGGCACCACUAUCUAAAUUUAUUGGUGCAGUCUUUAUCACGGGCAUUAUUACCCAAAUCCAUAUUUAACUCAUCUAUUAAUAUUUUGAUACUACCAAUAAUAAGAUUAUACCAUUGAAAAAGUACUUUUUUUAACUGUUAAAUGUUUGUGUCAAAAUUUAAAAGUGGUGCCCAUGUGUAUUACCCCAAACACUCCAUACCCAUAAUUAAUCGGAAUGGUGCACCAUUUUAGUUAUUUUUAUAUUAAAUAUGUAAAAAAAGAAGAAGCCUUGACUGUGUUUGACAAAAUGUAAAAUAAUGAGUAUAGAUUAAAAUUUUAUUAUUCUAAACAUGUCAUAUGUGAGUACAAACGACUAAUAAUACAUCCAAAUGAUAUAAUGAUUGUGAAACUGAUGACAUCAGUGACACAGAAAUUUCAACACCUUCCCCUCCCUUUCUCUGUUUUGACCAUCGAUUCCCUCUAUUUAUAUUCUUUCUGCCUUCUCCAAUUUCCUCUGCACGCCCAGACGAAAUGGUCUCUUUUUUAUCCUUUCUUUCGCCUUUCGCUCCAUUUUCUGUCACCUUUUUGCUUCUUUUUCUUUUCGUAGAGCAAAUCUGUUACUUGCGUAAAAAGCGAAAUGUCCCUGGCCCCAAUAUCAUCUUGCCUUUUUUGGGCAACGCCAUUCAUUAAUCACAAAACCAACAAGCUUCUGGGAAGUUCAAGCUGAUUUGGCUGCUUCUCUUGGAUUUUCUGUUAAUUAUAUCAUCGGUCGCUUCAUCGUCUUUAUCCGAAACACCGAGCUUUCCCACAUUAUCUUCGGUAACGUCCGACCCGAUGCUUUUUUACUUGUGGGACACCCCUUUGGUAAAAAAGCUUUUCGGUGAACAUAACAUGAUUUAUAUGUUUGGACAGGAUCACAAAGAUCUUCGCCGUCAAAUUGCUCCUAACUUCACUCCUAGGGCU